RNAcentral lists this small nuclear RNA (134 nucleotides) under Myotis brandtii (Brandt's bat). RNAcentral's name for it is "U4 spliceosomal RNA". It matches the Rfam family "U4 spliceosomal RNA". Rfam says of the family: U4 small nuclear RNA (U4 snRNA) is a component of the major U2-dependent spliceosome. The structure of U4 snRNA from yeast and human has been reported. Lineage: Eukaryota; Metazoa; Chordata; Mammalia; Chiroptera; Vespertilionidae. The record is from Rfam by way of RNAcentral.
AGCUUUGCACAAUGGCAGUAUCGUGGCCAAUGAGGUUUAUCCGAGGUGCGAUUAUUGCUAAUUUGAUAGAUAUAUAUAUAAUUUUAUAUAAAAUUUAAAAAGCUGCUGAGUAAUUCUGGAUUUUGUUCUUAAAA